This 308-nucleotide ribosomal RNA is filed under the name uncultured bacterium. Its description in RNAcentral is "bacterial SSU rRNA". It matches the Rfam family "Bacterial small subunit ribosomal RNA", at positions 30 to 334 of the family's 1533-position model. The record is from RNAcentral.
AUUGAACGCUGGCGGCAUGCCUAACACAUGCAAGUCGAACGGAAACGAUGGAAGCUUGCUUCCAGUCGUCGAGUGGCGGACGGGUGAGUAAUGCUUGGGAAUCUACCCAGUAGUGGGGGACAACUUUCGGAAACGGGAGCUAAUACCGCAUACGUCCUACGGGAGAAAGUGGGGGAUCUUCGGACCUCACGCUAUUGGAUGAGCCCAAGUUGGAUUAGCUUGUUGGUGGGGUAAUGGCCUACCAAGGCGACGAUCCAUAGCUGGUCUGAGAGGACGAUCAGCCACACUGGGACUGAGACACGGCCCAG